Molecule: ribosomal RNA, 253 nt
Filed under: uncultured bacterium
Lineage: Bacteria
Description: partial 16S ribosomal RNA
Rfam family: Bacterial small subunit ribosomal RNA
Source: RNAcentral
UACGAAGGGGGCUAGCGUUGUUCGGAAUUACUGGGCGUAAAGGGAGCGUAGGCGGUUUAAUAAGUUGGAUGUGAAAGCCCAGGGCUCAACCCUGGAAUUGCAUUCAAGACUGUUUUACUUGAAUUCGGUAGAGGUUGGUGGAAUUCCCAGUGUAGAGGUGAAAUUCGUAGAUAUUGGGAAGAAUAUCCGUGGCGAAGGCGGCCAACUGGACCGACAUUGACGCUGAGGCUCGAAAGCGUGGGGAGCAAACAGG